CUUCCAUCUGGAAGAAUCUGGAGGACAGGUGCUGCAUGGCUGUCGUCAGCUCGUGUCGUGAGAUGUUGGGGUUAAGUCCCGCAACGAGCGCAACCCUUGCCUUUAGUUGCCAGCAGUUCGGCUGGGCACUCUAAAGGGACUGCCGGUGUUAAACCGGAGGAAGGUGGGGAUGACGUCAAGUCCUCAUGGCCUUUAUGACCAGGGCUACACACGUACUACAAUGGCCGAUACAAAGGGCAGCGACACUGCGAGGUGAAGCCAAUCCCGUAAAAUCGGUCUCAGUCCGGAUUGGAGUCUGCAACUCGACUCCAUGAAGUUGGAAUCGCUAGUAAUCGUGGAUCAGCAUGCCACGGUGAAUACGUUCCCGGGCCUU
Molecule: ribosomal RNA, 373 nt
Filed under: uncultured Desulfobulbus sp.
Lineage: Bacteria; Pseudomonadati; Thermodesulfobacteriota; Desulfobulbia; Desulfobulbales; Desulfobulbaceae
Description: bacterial SSU rRNA
Rfam family: Bacterial small subunit ribosomal RNA
Source: RNAcentral